This 208-nucleotide long non-coding RNA is filed under the name Gossypium raimondii (Peruvian cotton). RNAcentral's name for it is "long non-coding RNA (GRAI_LNC002896)". Lineage: Eukaryota; Viridiplantae; Streptophyta; Magnoliopsida; Malvales; Malvaceae. The record is from RNAcentral.
AAUAAAAAUCAAAUGACAGAAUCCAUGUAUUUAGAAAAUUAGUUCAUGCUUGGAAAUAGAAACAUCCAAGAUACAAUAUAACCAAAAGAAAGAAAGAAACUCAUGAUAACUGCCUAAGAAAUCAACUGCGAAUCUUCAAUCUUGACAUAAAUCUAUUUCAAAGUCGGCUUCAAUGUUGUUUUUCGAGUUGUUUUCUUGAACAUUCUUU